AAAUAAUUAUACUUUAAAGUAACAUUGUAAUGUGAUUGAUUUUGUUAAAUUGGUGAUUUAGUGGAGUAUGCUUAGAUAAUUAUUUACAGGGUGGAUAAUGAUGAUACUGUGAAUAUUCCAGGUUUUGGUUAGUUUAGGAGUGGUUUCAAUUAGCCAAACCUAGAAGUCGACUACUAUGCUAAUGUUGGUUUCAAUUAGUAGCCACUUUUUGGGUGAAACCAAAUUUAAAGUGUUCGGAAACUGGGACAUUGCCCUAAGGAUGUCACAAGGAGCAACAAGGAGAAUCAUCCAUCAACCAACACAAGCCUACUGGAGGAUAAAAAAGAAGCCAAUGGACAAGAAGUCGAUCGGAAGGAAGAUGUUCAGCCAAUGACCGGAAGGAUGUCAACAAGGAGAACCUAAUAACCUCGAAAGCGUCUUGAUUCCCAGAAAGGUAAUUCAUAAUUUUUAACUAAUAUUUGUUUCAAUUAGUAGCCACUAUUCGGGUGGAACUAAAUUUAAAGUGUUCAGAAACAAAAAGACAUCCAAAGAGCAAUUUAUAAAUUUAAAAUUAUUUGCUUAGGUGUACCAUCUACUCCCAACAUGAGGCGUCAAUUUUGUCGUAUGCUUUUGGAAGACAAGGCAGAGCAUGCAGACAUGUUUGAAGAGGUCUGCAAGAUUAAGUUCAGCAAACUUCCAUAAGAUAACCAUUAAGGAUGAUUUUGUGCAUGAUAUUCAUCCUGACAUCCAUGUCAACCUUACUACCAAGAGAGGAAUGUCAAGAGAAUAAGCGCAAUAACAAAGAAGAGUUAGUACUUCUACGAUUGGAUCCUAGAUUAUCUCAUCAGUGUGUUAGUUCAACUACGGUGUGUUCAUCAAUAUCGAAGUCAUCUCUAAACAAAGAUGACAAAAUGAAUGACUUAAGUUCUGGAGUCUCAGAAAAGAAGUAGAAGCACUUGCAGUUCCAGGAUGUCGAAGUAACCAAAAAUAGUGGAAAUUGUAGAAGAAGUUUCCACAGCAACUGUUAUGAAAGGUAAGCCGAAUCAGAAAUGGAAGUAGAUGAGUUGUGAAUCGACUGAGAUCGUAAAGUUUCUUUACGUUUGUAGUGCUAGUCGCCGAUAAGAAGCAGAAGUCCUUCAAGCAGUCAGAAGUCAUCUACAAACAAAAUUAUCAAAAUGAAAGAAGAAACGACAAAGAAAGAAUAUUCUUGGAAAGAAACAGAAGGCCGAAGUCUAAUCGAGUGCAGAUCGUCGUUGGAUGAGGAAUAACGGUUCACCGAGAAGAUCGGGGGACAAGCAGUUGCAGGAAACAUGCUAGUCUAUCCAGUGUGAGUUCAUCAAUAUUACUCCUUUAAAGACGACGUCUUCAAGCAGAAGUCGUAUGGACCUCAGUUUUACAGUAUCAAAAAAGAAGUAGAUGCCCUUACAGUUCCGGGAUGGCAGAGUAACCAAAAAAGUGGAAUCGUGGCGUUCUAGAAAAAGAUUGGAAAUACAGCAACAGUUAUGAAAGGUAGCCGAAUCAGAAAAGACAGUAGAGGGUGAGUAGUAAAUUGACUGAGAUAUGCAGUUUAGUCUAGUCUAGGGAUAUUUUUAAAAAACACCAAUUUUGUAUGUUUAGUUCAGACAUAAAUUCGAAUUAACAAUAUAAUUUUUUUUCAUUUCAUACAGUUCCUUCAUUGCGUUGCGUGUUUCGAGAAGUUUUUAUAAAUAACGUCAUAUACUUCGAAAGAAGUAUUGAAGACUAGCCAACUGCCUGUAGUAGUUAUCCUCGAUCAAGUGCACAAAGGACAACAAAAUACCAGGGAAACCAAUGGAACGAAGCCUAGUGGAGGAAGAAGAAUCAGCCAAUGGACAAGAAGUCAACUGAAAGGGCGAAGAAGUUCAGCCAUGCAGUACAAGCCUUCUGGAGGAGGAGGAAGAAGCCAAUGGACAAAAAUACAAAGUCGAUCAGAAGGAAGAAAAAGUUUAGCCAAUGGCCGGAAGGAUGUCGACAAGGAGCAGAUAGGAGAACCAUUUAACAUAACCUCCAAAGCGUCUUGACACCCAGAAAGGUAAAUAUUCUUAACCAAUUAAACUUUCUUUUGCUUAAAACAAAUUUUAAUUUUUUUUGUUUGGCAACAUUUUAGAGGAACAUUACCAUAUCCUGUCCGGACAAUAUCGAUGAGUUAGCCGAUUUUCACAAGGUUGAGUGCCGCCAAGCAGACCACCAAGUUAAUGCUACUGCUUCAAAAAGGAUGAGACGAAUCCUAAGACGGACAGAAAUUGGAACACUUGUUUGAAUACUAAUCCCCUCCGAUGGAUGUCUACCUUGUCGUGGUGGAGGGGCUUUUCACCAAGAGACAUCCGAAGAGAAAGAGUUGAAUCAUUAAAUUCAAAUUUGCAUCAAAUCAAAAGCUGCAUUGAUUCGAGGGGUGUAUUAUGUUCAGUCAGAACAUAGGAGCUACCAUCUCUGUCCCGAAUAACAAAGAAUCGUGGACAGUAACUGAAUCUACAAUUCGGAUGUGUGUUUCAAGUGCGUGGUUCUUAAGAAAAAGUAGAAGAAGAAGAAAAUAUCCAAUGAUUCUAGGCUUAGCCAACUGUCAGAACAACCAAGAAGAAAAGUUGAAGACAAGAAAAAAAGUAAAGUGCGUGAAUCUUUAGUGUCUUCAAGAAGUUGGUAGCCGAAGGAUGUCGGCAAGGAUGAGAGUAGCCGCAGCCGUGCAAUAUAACCUCAAAAUGGACAAAUCGAAUGUGUUCGUCAACUUUAAGUGCGGAAAUACUUUUCACAGGUGCAUAGUGUGAAAAGAACCUCAACCGCUUCUUGAGCAAAAAAAAUUCAACCACAGCACCGAAAGUGAAGUUUGCUGUGUUUUUAGUAACCAAAGAAGACUUUUGCUCAAACAAAGAAGAAUAGCGGCAUCGUUGCACAAAGGCAAACAAUCACAAGGGAACCAAUGGAACGAAGCCGAGUGUAGAAAGAAGAAUCAGCCAAUGGACAAGAAGUCAGGGACGAAAGAAGUCAGCCGGAAGGAUGUCACAAGGAGAACCAUUCAACAACCAACACAAGUGUAAUGAAGAAAGGAGAAGAAGCCAACGGACAAGCAGUCGAUCGGAAGGAAGAAAAAGUUCAUAGCCAAUAGCCGGAAGGAUGUCGACAAGGGGAAACAAGGAAAAACAUAACCUCGAAAGCGUCUUGGUGUCUUGACUCCCAGAAAGUGUGGAAAAAUACUGGCGAUUAUCAUUUUAUUGAAUCAGACAUCCAUUCGAAUCAAUGACUUUUCUUCGAGAAUGAUUCCGUGACAUUGGCAUACUAAUGACAUAUUAUCAGAAAAUGGAAAAAGAACGUGAUUGAAGAACGAUACUGUGAGGAUGGAAAAUCGAAGUGAAAUGUGAUUAGUGAAAACCGAAGGAUAUUACUUGUGAUUACGAUUUUUGGAAAAGUUUCCGAACUUAAAAAGUGGAUAAAGAAAAAAGUUUUAUUGAACCCAGGGUCCAGUGAGUGACGAUUGUUAAUUUUAUUUGAUAGUACUGU
Molecule: long non-coding RNA, 3489 nt
Organism: Leptopilina heterotoma
Lineage: Eukaryota; Metazoa; Arthropoda; Insecta; Hymenoptera; Figitidae
Exons: 3
Source: RefSeq, a predicted model, not a curated record